Molecule: ribosomal RNA, 459 nt
Filed under: uncultured bacterium
Lineage: Bacteria
Description: partial 16S ribosomal RNA
Rfam family: Bacterial small subunit ribosomal RNA
Source: RNAcentral
CCUACGGGCGGCAGCAGUGAGGAAUAUUGGUCAAUGGGCGCGAGCCUGAACCAGCCAAGUCGCGUGAGGGAAGACGGUCCUAUGGAUUGUAAACCUCUUUUGUCGGGGAGCAAAAGACGCCACGUGUGGCGUUCCGAGAGUACCCGAAGAAAAAGCAUCGGCUAACUCCGUGCCAGCAGCCGCGGUAAUACGGAGGAUGCUAGCGUUAUCCGGAUUUAUGGGGUUUAAAGGGUGCGAAGGCGGAAGAUCAAGUCAGCGGUAAAAUUGAGAGGCUCAACCUCUUCGAGCCGUUGAAACUGGUUUUCUUGAGUGGGCGAGACGUAUGCGGAAUGCGUGGUGUAGCGGUGAAAUGCAUAGAGAUCACGCAGAACUCCGAUUGCGAAGGCAGCAUACCGGCGCUCAACUGACGCUCAUGCACGAAAGUGUGGGUAUCGAACAGGAUUAGAUACCCGGGUAGUC